UUGGCCAUUCUGCGACUGCGCAAAGAUGGUGGAAGAGGACAGUAUCCGCGUGGUUCGUUGUGGCGGCAGCGAGUUGAACUUUAGGAGAGCUGUGUUCUCUGCAGAUUCUAAGUAUAUCUUCUGUGUCUCUGGAGACUUUGUUAAAGUUUACAGCACAGUUACAGAAGAGUGUGUACACAUACUGCAUGGACACAGAAAUCUGGUGACUGGAAUCCAACUUAACCCCAACAACCAUCUACAGCUGUAUUCUUGUUCCCUUGAUGGCACAAUUAAACUGUGGGACUAUAUAGAUGGCAUCUUAAUAAAGACUUUCAUAGUUGGAUGUAAACUUCAUGCCCUCUUUACUCUUGCCCAAGCUGAGGAUUCUGUCUUUGUUAUAGUAAAUAAAGAAAAACCAGGUACGGUAUAAUUAACUUAUUAUAUAUGGCAUUGAGUGGCUCUUUACAUUUUACAGUUCCUCAAAAUUUAACAUUUUGGUUUUAAUCUGAAGCCAACAGUUUUUAGAAUCGGCAUUUAAAUUGCUUUUGUCAUUAUUGUGUUCAUUUGGAGAUG
Molecule: small RNA, 552 nt
Filed under: Pongo abelii (Sumatran orangutan)
Lineage: Eukaryota; Metazoa; Chordata; Mammalia; Primates; Hominidae
Description: retained intron
Source: RNAcentral